CCAGGCUCACAGCCUUUGUGUUGAAGGUCCUGAGUUUGGCCCAGGAGCAGGUAGGAGGCUCGCCUGAGAAACUGCAGGAGACAUCUAACUGGCUUCUGUCCCAGCAGCAGGCUGACGGCUCGUUCCAGGACCCCUGUCCAGUGUUAGACAGGAGCAUGCAGGGGGGUUUGGUGGGCAAUGAUGAGACUGUGGCACUCACAGCCUUUGUGACCAUCGCCCUUCAUCAUGGGCUGGCCGUCUUCCAGGAUGAGGGUGCAGAGCCAUUGAAGCAGAGAGUGGAAGCCUCCAUCUCAAAGGCAAGCUCAUUUUUGGGGGAGAAAGCAAGUGCUGGGCUCCUGGGUGCCCACGCAGCUGCCAUCACGGCCUAUGCCCUGACACUGACCAAGGCGCCUGUGGACCUGCUCGGUGUUGCCCACAACAACCUCAUGGCAAUGGCCCAGGAGACUGGAGCUCCUCGCAACCCAUCCGACCCCAUGCCCCAGGCCCCAGCCCUGUGGAUUGAAACCACAGCCUACGCCCUGCUGCACCUCCUGCUUCACGAGGGCAAAGCAGAGAUGGCAGACCAGGCUGCGGCCUGGCUCACCCGUCAGGGCAGCUUCCAAGGGGGAUUCCGCAGUACCCAAGACACGGUGAUUGCCCUGGAUGCCCUGUCUGCCUACUGGAUUGCCUCCCACACCACUGAGGAGAGGGGUCUCAAUGUGACUCUCAGCUCCACAGGCCGGAAUGGGUUCAAGUCCCACGCGCUGCAGCUGAACAACCGCCAGAUUCGCGGCCUGGAGGAGGAGCUGCAGUUUUCCUUGGGCAGCAAGAUCAAUGUGAAGGUGGGAGGAAACAGCAAAGGAACCCUGAAGGUCCUUCGUACCUACAAUGUCCU
Molecule: unclassified non-coding RNA, 874 nt
Filed under: Homo sapiens (human)
Lineage: Eukaryota; Metazoa; Chordata; Mammalia; Primates; Hominidae
Source: RNAcentral